This 376-nucleotide ribosomal RNA is filed under the name uncultured bacterium. RNAcentral describes it as "bacterial SSU rRNA". It matches the Rfam family "Bacterial small subunit ribosomal RNA", at positions 30 to 412 of the family's 1533-position model. The record is from RNAcentral.
CCUGAACGCUGGCGGCGUGGCUAAGACAUGCAAGUCGCACGGGGUAGCAAUACCCAGUGGCGAACGGGAGAGUAAUGAAUCGCUAACGUACCCCGGACUCUGGGAUAGCUACCCGAAAGGGUAGGUAAUACCAGAUAAUACGACCUUGUCGCAUGGCAGGGUUUUUCAAAGGUCCGCCGGUCUGGGAGCGGGCGAUUUCGUAUCAGCUAGUUGGUGGGGUAAUGGCUCACCAAGGCGACGACGCGUAGCCGGACUGAGAGGUUGGCCGGCCUCAUUUGGGACUGAGACACUGCCCAGACUCCGUACGGGGGGCUGCAGUAACGAAUCUCCCGCAAUGCACGAAAGUGUGACGGAGCGAUGCCGCGUGUGGGACGAA